Gossypium hirsutum (cotton) is the source of this 73-nucleotide non-coding RNA. The record is from Rfam. NCBI's taxonomy places the organism in Eukaryota, Viridiplantae, Streptophyta, Magnoliopsida, Malvales, Malvaceae.
GGGGGUGUAGCUCAUAUGGUAGAGCGCUUGGUUUGCAUGCGAGAGGCACGGUGUUCAACUCCCCGAACCUCCA